CGUGGAGACAGGUGGUGCAUGGCUGUCGUCAGCUCGUGUCGUGAGAUGUUGGGUUAAGUCCCGCAACGAGCGCAACCCUCACCCCUUGUUGCCACCGGGUCAUGCCGAGCACUCUAGGGGAACUGCCGGCGUCAAGCUGGAGGAAGGCGGGGAUGACGUCAAGUCAUCAUGCCCCUUACGCCCUGGGCAACACACGUGCUACAAUGGCUGGUACAAAGGGAUGCAAGACCGCGAGGUGGAGCUAAUCCCAAAAAACCAGUCUAAGUUCAGAUUGCAGUCUGCAACUCGACUGCAUGAAGGAGGAAUCGCUAGUAAUCGCGCAUCUGCACGGCGCGGUGAAUACGUUCCCGGGCCUUGUACACACCGCCCGUCACACCACGAAAGCCGGCUGUACUCGAAGUCGCUGAG
This 408-nucleotide ribosomal RNA is filed under the name uncultured Methylomirabilota bacterium. Its description in RNAcentral is "bacterial SSU rRNA". It matches the Rfam family "Bacterial small subunit ribosomal RNA", at positions 1027 to 1434 of the family's 1533-position model. The record is from RNAcentral. Lineage: Bacteria; Methylomirabilota (SeqCode).